Molecule: long non-coding RNA, 846 nt
Filed under: Lepisosteus oculatus (spotted gar)
Lineage: Eukaryota; Metazoa; Chordata; Actinopteri; Semionotiformes; Lepisosteidae
Description: lncRNA (ENSLOCG00000021325.1)
Source: RNAcentral
GUAAAAAAUGUAUCAUUUCCUAUCUGCUUUACAGAUUGAAACCCUUGGCAGCAUGCAAUAUGUGUAUCAUUAUUAGAUGUAAAUAAUACAUUUAAAUACUGUUGUGAAAUUUAGAGGAAUAACAACUUAAAUUUUAAACAUUAGUAUAUAAUGUUUGCUCUCCAGUUACAAAAUAUUAAUGCAAUGCUUUAUAUUAAAGGCUUUAGUUUUUGGAUGGUGCUUCUAUUUUCUGUCACAGAAUAUGUCGGUACUGAAGAGAAAAAAAUUGCACAUGGUCAACUGAGAUCCGUGGUAUUUCUACAUCCAUCAACACCCAAAAAUUUGUCAGAGGCAACAUGGAAAAAAGAAAACAUACUGGUGGGGAAAUUUAAAAAUGGCAUCUCUCACCCUUCAUAUAAAUAUAAAAACAGGGCUGAGAUUUUCAGAAAUGGAACCCUCAAACUCAACUGCAUCGUAAAAGAAGAUUUUGGAGUUUAUUUCCUGGAGCUAUAUGACAAAACUGGAAAGAAUAUUUUCAAGGAUAAUAUCACACUGAAAAUAGGCCUUCAGACUUUUAUAAACAUAUCCUGUCCAAUCAGUGGGAAUGAUGAUGAAAAUACCACAAAGAGAGCUCGCGGUUUACUUUUCAUCUGGGUGGGAAUCCAUGUUACAGUUGUCAUAUUAUCAUACAUUAUUUUAAACCUGCGGAAGAAAUUGGGAAAAAAGAGAAAAGAAGGAAACAGAGAACUCCAUUUUCACUUGAACCAACCAAGAGAGGCUGAGGGUCAUGCACAUAGGCUGGAAGAUGCAGAAAAGAACAUCUAUGUUGAAAUGCAUGUGCCGAAAAAUGUGAUUAAAGACGACAAA